This 520-nucleotide ribosomal RNA is filed under the name uncultured Glomus. RNAcentral's name for it is "SSU rRNA". It matches the Rfam family "Eukaryotic small subunit ribosomal RNA", at positions 569 to 1091 of the family's 1831-position model. Lineage: Eukaryota; Fungi; Glomeromycota; Glomeromycetes; Glomerales; Glomeraceae. The record is from RNAcentral.
AGCAGCCGCGGUAAUUCCAGCUCCAAUAGCGUAUAUUAAAGUUGUUGCAGUUAAAAAGACUCGUAGUUGAAUUUCGGGAUCGAAUUGUUGGUCGUGCCUCGGUACGCACUGGCAUUAUCGGUUCCUACCUUCUGAAGAACCGCGAUGUCAUUAAUUUGGUGUCGUGGGGAAUCAGGACUGUUACUUUGAAAAAUUAGAGUGUUUAAAGCAGGCUUACGCUUGAAUACAUUAGCAUGGAGUAAUGAAAUAGGACGUUUGAUUCUAUUUUGUUGGUUUCUAGGAUCGACGUAAUGAUUAAUAGGGAUAGUUGGGGGCAUUAGUAUUCAAUUGUCAGAGGUGAAAUUCUUGGAUUUAUUGAAGACUAACUACUGCGAAAGCAUUUGCCAAGGAUGUUUUCAUUAAUCAAGAACGAAAGUUAGGGGAUCGAAGACGAUCAGAUACCGUCGUAGUCUUAACCAUAAACUAUGCCGACUAGGGAUCGGACGAUGUUAAUUUUAUAAUGACUCAUUCGGCGCCUUAC